RNAcentral lists this ribosomal RNA (254 nucleotides) under uncultured bacterium. Its description in RNAcentral is "partial 16S ribosomal RNA". It matches the Rfam family "Bacterial small subunit ribosomal RNA", at positions 524 to 776 of the family's 1533-position model. The record is from RNAcentral.
UACGUAGGGGGGCAAGCGUUGUCCGGAUUUAUUGGGCGUAAAGAGCGUGUAGGCGGCUAGAUAGGUCCGUUGUGAAAACUCGAGGCUCAACCUCGAGACGUCGAUGGAAACCAUCUGGCUAGAGUCCGGAAGAGGAGAGUGGAAUUCCUGGUGUAGCGGUGAAAUGCGCAGAUAUCAGGAAGAACACCUAUGGCGAAGGCAGCACUCUGGGACGGUACUGACGCUGAGACGCGAAAGCGUGGGUAGCAAACAGG